This is a long non-coding RNA of Anoplophora glabripennis (Asian longhorned beetle), 396 nucleotides long. RefSeq lists it as uncharacterized. The transcript has 2 exons. The record is from RefSeq and is a predicted model, not a curated record. NCBI's taxonomy places the organism in Eukaryota, Metazoa, Arthropoda, Insecta, Coleoptera, Cerambycidae.
GGAUUUUGUUUAUUAGACAUUCGAAACGGGAAGACGAGGGGCUGUAUAAGUGCCAAGUUUGCUCACAGUCAAAUUUUAGUAACAGCAUUUACGUGAACUUAAAGUUAAUAGAAGCUUGGGCAACGAUAUUAGGCGAUCCUGAGAGGAAAGCGGUGAAAGUGGGAUCGCCUCUACGCUUAAGCUGUGAACUGAAAGAUUCCAUCGAAGCCCCCAAGUACAUCUUUUGGUAUCACGAUGACAGGGUGAUCAAUUACGAUUUAAAUGACGGUGCAACAGUACGUGAAGGUCGUCAAGGAAGCGAACUGAUUUUUCCAAGGGCGCAGAGAAAUCAUACUGGCAACUACUCUUGUGUACCUUCGAACGCUAGAGAGGCUAGUGUCGAGGUGAAAAUACAAA